RNAcentral lists this ribosomal RNA (200 nucleotides) under uncultured prokaryote. RNAcentral describes it as "partial 16S ribosomal RNA". It matches the Rfam family "Bacterial small subunit ribosomal RNA", at positions 1183 to 1382 of the family's 1533-position model. The record is from RNAcentral.
CGUCAAAUCAUCAUGCCCCUUAUGAGCAGGGCUACACACGUGCUACAAUGGCGUAAACAAAGGGAAGCGACCCCGCGAGGGCAAGCAAAUCUCAAAAAUAGCGUCACAGUUCGGAUUGUAGUCUGCAACUCGACUAUAUGAAGCCGGAAUCGCUAGUAAUCGCGAAUCAGCAUGUCGCGGUGAAUACGUUCCCGGGUCUU